CCUACGGGUGGCAGCAGUGGGGAAUAUUGGACAAUGGGGGGAACCCUGAUCCAGCGACACCGCGUGAGUGAAGAAGUAUUUCGGUAUGUAAAGCUCUAUCAGCCGGGAAGAAAGAAAUGACGGUACCUGACUAAGAAGCCUCGGCUAACUACGUGCCAGCAGCCGCUGGAAUCCGUAGGGGGCAAGGGUUCUCCGGAUUUACUGGGUGUAAAGGGAGCGUAGACGGUUACGCAAGUCUGGAGUGAAGGGCGGGGGGCUAACCCCCGGACUGCUUUGGAAACUGUAUGACUGGAGUGCAGGAGAGGUAAGUGGAAUUCGUAGUGUAGCGGUGAAAGGCGUAGAUAUUAGGAGGAACACCAGUGGCGAAGGCGGCUUACUGGACUGUAACUGACGUUGAGGCUCGAAAGCGUGGGGAGCGAACAGGAUUAGAUACCCCAGUAGUC
This 443-nucleotide ribosomal RNA is filed under the name uncultured bacterium. Its description in RNAcentral is "partial 16S ribosomal RNA". It matches the Rfam family "Bacterial small subunit ribosomal RNA", at positions 338 to 795 of the family's 1533-position model. The record is from RNAcentral.